AACGAACGCUGGCGGCAGGCCUAACACAUGCAAGUCGAGCGAGACCUUCGGGUCUAGCGGCGGACGGGUGAGUAACGCGUGGGAACGUGCCCUUUUCUACGGAAUAGCCUCGGGAAACUGAGCGUAAUACCGUAUCUGCUCUCUGGGGGAAAGAUUUAUCGGAGAAGGAUCGGCCCGCGUUGGAUUAGGUAGUUGGUGGGGUAAUGGCCUACCAAGCCUACGAUCCAUAGCUGGUUUGAGAGGAUGAUCAGCCACACUGGGACUGAGACACGGCCCAGACUCCUACGGGAGGCAGCAGUGGGGAAUCUUAGACAAUGGGGGCAACCCUGAUCUAGCCAUGCCGCGUGAGUGAUGAAGGCCUUAGGGUUGUAAAGCUCUUUCAGCUGGGAAGAUAAUGACGUUACCAGCAGAAGAAGCCCCGGCUAACUCCGUG
RNAcentral lists this ribosomal RNA (433 nucleotides) under uncultured bacterium. RNAcentral describes it as "partial 16S ribosomal RNA". It matches the Rfam family "Bacterial small subunit ribosomal RNA", at positions 29 to 507 of the family's 1533-position model. The record is from RNAcentral.